UGACCCCAGGUAGGAAGGAGAGCAUACUGUCUGCCAUACCUACUUCCUGACUGGGGUUUUU
RNAcentral lists this microRNA precursor (61 nucleotides) under Monodelphis domestica (gray short-tailed opossum). Its description in RNAcentral is "microRNA mdo-mir-7370 precursor". The record is from miRBase by way of RNAcentral. Lineage: Eukaryota; Metazoa; Chordata; Mammalia; Didelphimorphia; Didelphidae.